UUUUUUUUUUUUUUUAUUCUUCAUUUAUAUCUAAGAUUGUUUAGUAAAUUUUUAUAUUUUUAGUAGGGUUGUUUACAAAUUUCUAUUUUGUUUCUCUACAUAAGUUUUAGCCUCCAUAUUUAGUUUUUUUUAUUGAAUUAAACUAUUUGGAUGUAAGAACCUAGGGUUCUACAUCACCAAAUCAGCCCCAGGCCCAGAAUGAAGCUUUUGAGUUCGAGCAAAGCUUGAAAAGUAAAGCAAUCAAUUUUGUUAACAUUAAAUCAGAAAAUGCCUAGCAAAAAUAUGAUUACAACUUAUUUUGAUAGUUUUGUCUUUUCAUAACUUUAACAAAAAAUCCCAUAACGAAUUUAAUCUAUACUUAUAGCUUAUUGAUAAUCAUACAAAAUCUUAUAGCUCAUUGAUAAUCAUGCAAUAUGCAGGACAUAAAACUCAGAAAGUACACAAGUAUCCAGUGUUCCCAGGUGCACAGUUAUAGCCUGUCACCAUUAGAAUGCCAACACAAAUGCUUGAAAACAUAGUUUUAAUACAUUUUCUUCUUUAAUGUGUGUAAUAAUAUUCAAUUAAUCAAAGUUUUGUGUAAUAAUUGCAGUACUAUUAUUGAUGACCUCAGAAUAUACACAAAAUACAAUAAAUGCUUUUAGAUGUAUCAUAAUAAUUAUGCCCAGAGACAACAGCUUUCGCUCCAUUUGGAAAAUCAAUUCCUUUGAAAGCAUAGCGAACUUUAAUAAUUAAAAUUCAACUUACCACUAAUCGUCGAUUGAUUUGUUAUUAAUUAGUCUUAGGCUGAAAAGGUUGCAAGAUCCUCCGUUUAGCAACUUUACAUCAGAUAUAACUAAGGAAAUAAACCAUAGACUUGAAAACCUCCAUCUAUUCAUAUUUGUUUAUCAUUCUUUUUCCCUUUUUCCCUUUCUCCCUUUGUAUAGGAAAAAAGAAGGCAUUCUUCAUUAAUAGGACAGAAACUAGUCUACUACUGCCAUGCAGUGCCAACUCACAAUUUCUAAAAGUUUGAUUGAUAGAUAUUAUUCACAAAAUAAUAAAUU
RNAcentral lists this unclassified non-coding RNA (1040 nucleotides) under Hevea brasiliensis (rubber tree). Lineage: Eukaryota; Viridiplantae; Streptophyta; Magnoliopsida; Malpighiales; Euphorbiaceae. The record is from RNAcentral.